This is a non-coding RNA of Myodes glareolus (Bank vole), 662 nucleotides long. The record is from RefSeq and is a predicted model, not a curated record. NCBI's taxonomy places the organism in Eukaryota, Metazoa, Chordata, Mammalia, Rodentia, Cricetidae.
UCCCAGUCUGCCUAGGAGGUCAGAGGUGCUGAUGGGAGAGAGGACGCUUUGGCCACAACAGCUCAAGAGGCCACUGAGACCAGGAGCAUGGAGGAAGGGACAUCUAUCUACGAGGCCACACUAGCUCCCACUCACACCUCCCAGCUCUUAGCCUUGGCCCCAGCUUUUGACUUCCUGGACUACUCCAGACACAGGUGUAUCCAGUUUAUAAGGAACAGACUUCACAGCGUCCCUCUUCCUGCCUACGUUCUGCGCUGAGGUGGACCACAGCCUCCAUCCUGUCCCUGGUGGCAAGCGGCAGAACCUCAUUGUGUGACCCCGACUGGCUUGGAACCCUUGCUUUUAUAGACCAGGGUGUGUCUUGAACUCACAGAGAUUCACUGCCUCUGCUUGUCAAAGCUGACAGCGAGAAAGAUGAUUUAUUGUACACAAGUUACAAUUGGCCACAAGUGAGGACAGAACUAGUCCAGAACGCCAUUGGUCCAGGGCAAAGGGCCCACAGGGCUGUUGUCAUGACGGCAGGCAGUCUCUCGGUGGUCUCUGCGAGCAGGGGGUGAGGUCGUGGGUCCAGAGAUUUCUUCCGACAGCAGCUCAGUCCGACUUGUACCAGUGUCCGGACCUCCAGCGUCCCUUACUUCUGCUCCUUCGGCCUUCAUGGAUGA